CGCGUAGGUGGUUCGUUAAGUCAGGGGUGAAAUCCCGGGGCUCAACCCCGGAACUGCCUUUGAUACUGGAAGUCUUGAGUAUGGUAGAGGUGAGUGGAAUUCCGAGUGUAGAGGUGAAAUUCGUAGAUAUUCGGAGGAACACCAGUGGCGAAGGCGGCUCACUGGACCAUUACUGACGCUGAGGUGCGAAAGCGUGGGGAGCAAACAGGAUUAGAUACCCUCGUA
Molecule: ribosomal RNA, 225 nt
Filed under: uncultured Brucella sp.
Lineage: Bacteria; Pseudomonadati; Pseudomonadota; Alphaproteobacteria; Hyphomicrobiales; Brucellaceae
Description: partial 16S ribosomal RNA
Rfam family: Bacterial small subunit ribosomal RNA
Source: RNAcentral